This 731-nucleotide ribosomal RNA is filed under the name uncultured Nitrospirota bacterium. Its description in RNAcentral is "bacterial SSU rRNA". It matches the Rfam family "Bacterial small subunit ribosomal RNA", at positions 26 to 873 of the family's 1533-position model. Lineage: Bacteria; Pseudomonadati; Nitrospirota. The record is from RNAcentral.
AGAACGAACGUUAGCGGUGUGGAUUAGGCAUGCAAGUCGAGCGAGCGGCGAACGGGUGAGUAACACGUAAUAACCUGCCCUUAGACCGGAAUAACCAUCGGAAACGAUGGGUAAUGCCGAAUGGGAGGGGAUUGCGGCCUAUCAGCUAGUUGGUGAGGUAACGGCCCACCAAGGCGAUGACGGGUAGCCGGUCUGAGAGGACGAUCGGCCACACUGGGACUGAGACACUGCCCAGACUCCUACGGGAGGCUGCAGUCGAGAAUCUUCCGCAAUGGGCGCAAGCCUGACGGAGCGACACCGCGUGCAGGAUGAAGGCCUUCGGGUUGUAAACUGCUGUCACGCUAUAUGACCAAAGCGAGAGGAAGCACCGGCUAACUCCGUGCCAGCAGCCGCGGUAAGACGGAGGGUGCAAACGUUGUUCGGAAUCACUGGGCAUAAAGCGCACGUAGGCCGUCCGCUAAGUUCGACGUGAAAGCCCCCGGCUCAACCGGGGAACUGCGUCGAAGACUGGCGGACUCGAGGACGGUUGGGGUGAGUGGAACUCCUGGUGGAGCGGUGAAAUGCGUAGAUAUCAGGAGGAACACCGGUGGCGAAAGCGGCUCACUGGACCGUUACUGACGCUGAGGUGCGAAAGCUAGGGGAGCGAACGGGAUUAGAUACCCCGGUAGUCCUAGCCGUAAACGAUGGGCACUAGGUAGGGCUGCCGCAGCAAAUGUGUUAAGUGCCCCGCC